GGCUUCAUCGUCUAACGGUUAGGACGCCGCCUUCUCAAGGCAGAAAUCGGAGUUCGAUUCUCCGUGGAGCUA
Molecule: transfer RNA, 72 nt
Filed under: bacterium
Lineage: Bacteria
Description: tRNA-Glu
Rfam family: tRNA
About the family: Transfer RNA (tRNA) molecules are approximately 80 nucleotides in length. Their secondary structure includes four short double-helical elements and three loops (D, anti-codon, and T loops). Further hydrogen bonds mediate the characteristic L-shaped molecular structure. tRNAs have two regions of fundamental functional importance: the anti-codon, which is responsible for specific mRNA codon recognition, and the 3' end, to which the tRNAs corresponding amino acid is attached (by aminoacyl-tRNA synthetases). tRNAs cope with the degeneracy of the genetic code in two manners: having more than one tRNA (with a specific anti-codon) for a particular amino acid; and 'wobble' base-pairing, i.e. permitting non-standard base-pairing at the 3rd anti-codon position.
Source: RNAcentral